RNAcentral lists this ribosomal RNA (429 nucleotides) under Gemmatimonadota bacterium. RNAcentral describes it as "Gemmatimonadetes bacterium partial 16S ribosomal RNA". It matches the Rfam family "Bacterial small subunit ribosomal RNA", at positions 355 to 776 of the family's 1533-position model. Lineage: Bacteria; Pseudomonadati; Gemmatimonadota. The record is from RNAcentral.
UAGGGAAUCUUCGGCAAUGGACGAAAGUCUGACCGAGCAACGCCGCGUGAGUGAAGAAGGUUUUCGGAUCGUAAAACUCUGUUGUUAGAGAAGAACAAGGACGUUAGUAACUGAACGUCCCCUGACGGUAUCUAACCAGAAAGCCACGGCUAACUACGUGCCAGCAGCCGCGGUAAUACGUAGGUGGCAAGCGUUGUCCGGAUUUAUUGGGCGUAAAGCGAGCGCAGGCGGUUUCUUAAGUCUGAUGUGAAAGCCCCCGGCUCAACCGGGGAGGGUCAUUGGAAACUGGGAGACUUGAGUGCAGAAGAGGAGAGUGGAAUUCCAUGUGGAGCGGUGAAAUGCGUAGAUAUAUGGAGGAACACCAGUGGCGAAGGCGGCUCUCUGGUCUGUAACGGACGCUGAGGCUCGAAAGCGUGGGGAGCAAACAGG